RNAcentral lists this ribosomal RNA (423 nucleotides) under uncultured bacterium. RNAcentral describes it as "partial 16S ribosomal RNA". It matches the Rfam family "Bacterial small subunit ribosomal RNA", at positions 360 to 775 of the family's 1533-position model. The record is from RNAcentral.
AAUUUUGGACAAUGGGGGAAACCCUGAUCCAGCCAUCCUGCGUGUUUGAUGAAGGCCUUCGGGUUGUAAAGUACUUUUGGCAGAGAAGAAAAGGUACCUCCUAAUACGAGGUACUGCUGCCGGUAUCUGCAGAAUAAGCACCGGCUAACUACGUGCCAGCAGCCGCGGGAAUACGAAGGGUGCAAGCGUUAAUCGGAAUUACUGGGCGUAAAGCGUGUGUAGGCGGUUCGGAAAGAAAGAUGUGAAAUCCCAGGGCUCAACCUUGGAACUGCAGUUUUAACUGCCGAGCUAGAGGAUGUCAGAGGGGGGUAGAAUUCCACGUGUAGCAGUGAAAUGCGUAGAUAUGUGGAGGAAUACCGAUGGCGAAGGCAGCCCCCUGGGAUAAUACUGACGCUCAGACACGAAAGAGUGGUGAGCAAACAG